CCGAGUUAGGGUCCUCUGGGCCCGACCUCCCAACCCUUUGUCGUUACCACCUCAGUUGCUUCGGCGGGCCCUGCCUCGAAAGAGGCACGCCGGAGGGGCGUAAAACCCCUUCUGGUCAGUUGCUCGUCGGUAGCCCCAACCACAAAAUUCUGAAGUAAACGUGUCUUCUGAGUAACAAACAAAAAUAAAGCAA
RNAcentral lists this unclassified non-coding RNA (193 nucleotides) under uncultured Chaetothyriales. Its description in RNAcentral is "sequence contains ITS1". Lineage: Eukaryota; Fungi; Ascomycota; Eurotiomycetes; Chaetothyriales. The record is from RNAcentral.